Long non-coding RNA from Mugil cephalus (flathead mullet), 645 nucleotides. RefSeq lists it as uncharacterized. Lineage: Eukaryota; Metazoa; Chordata; Actinopteri; Mugiliformes; Mugilidae. The record is from RefSeq and is a predicted model, not a curated record. The transcript has 5 exons.
CGCCUCGAAUGAUUGGAAAGACGUACAACCUUCAGCUGCCUGUAACUACAAAAGAUUAACAAACAAAAAAAACAUAGGGCCGUGGGAGAGGAGGAGGAGAUCAGGCGUUUGGCCUCUGACGCAGGAAACACACCAGCACCUCGGCAGAAGAAGUGGCAUGAUCUACAUCUGAAGCCUUCCAGUUCGCUCCUUGUCUCAGUGCAUCCAGGAACCUCAUGUACAGUGGCACCGCAGCCAAGCAGCCAGGGCCUUCACCUGGUGAGACGCUACAGCCAGGACUCUACCUGCAGGUUCACCACCACCAAAGGAUGUCUCCUUAGCUGGUGGUGAACCUUGGCAUCAACCUCUGAUGUAUCCAGCCCCAUCACAAGCCCCACAAAAAGAAAAGUGUCACCACCUGGACGCACACUGUUUCUCCUGUGUCUCUUCCUCCUUCUCCUGUUCCUGUAUCAAGCUUCUUCCAUUCUGCCUCCACUGCUACAGCUGAACCCCCUCUGCUCCUCUCACCUUGCCAUUGCCUAAAAAUGUGGGGAUCGUACCUGUUUCAGAUGCUGCCUGGCUGCCCACAAAGCUGCUAAAGACAUUUCAGCAGCCCUGUGGAAAGACCAGCGUCUUUUCAAAGACCUGAAACUGUGGUAUGAUCCA